Molecule: long non-coding RNA, 219 nt
Filed under: Elaeis guineensis (African oil palm)
Lineage: Eukaryota; Viridiplantae; Streptophyta; Magnoliopsida; Arecales; Arecaceae
Description: long non-coding RNA (EGUI_LNC059386)
Source: RNAcentral
AAGAUAAUUAUUUAGUAGAUAAUACAUUAAUUUUUUUUUCUAAUUAUCAUCUUGCUUUGGUCAAAGACUUCCGAAUCAUCGACCUAUGAGAUCACAUAGGAUAUUCGCUCCCCUUAUUAGGAGUGACUGAUCCCUUAUUAAUCACUCACAACCUUCAUGCAUACUUCAUCAUAUCCAGACACCCUCACAAGGAUCAAAAAAUCAAGUUAGGUAGUGAAU